CCAGACUCCUACGGGAGGCAGCAGUGGGGGAUAUUGCACAAUGGGGGAAACCCUGAUGCAGCGACGCCGCGUGGGUGAAGGAGCGUUUCGGCGCGUAAAGCCCUAUCGGCAGGGAAGAAGGAGGACGGUACCUGACUAAGAAGCCCCGGCUAAAUACGUGCCAGCAGCCGCGGUAAUACGUAUGGGGCAAGCGUUAUCCGGAUUUACUGGGUGUAAAGGGAGCGUAGGCGGCCUGGCAAGCCUGAUGUGAAAUACCGGGGCCCAACCCCGGGACUGCUCUUGGAACUGCGUGGCUGGAGUGCAGGAGGGGCAGGCGGAAUUCCUGGUGUAGCGGUGAAAUGCGUAGAUAUCAGGAGGAACACCGGUGGCGAAGGCGGCCUGCUGGACUGCAACUGACGUUGAGGCUCGAAAGCGUGGGGAGCAAACAGGAUUAGAUACCCGCGUA
RNAcentral lists this ribosomal RNA (445 nucleotides) under uncultured bacterium. RNAcentral's name for it is "bacterial SSU rRNA". It matches the Rfam family "Bacterial small subunit ribosomal RNA", at positions 331 to 792 of the family's 1533-position model. The record is from RNAcentral.